Molecule: non-coding RNA, 307 nt
Organism: Pelobates cultripes (western spadefoot toad)
Lineage: Eukaryota; Metazoa; Chordata; Amphibia; Anura; Pelobatidae
Source: the annotation of a GenBank genome assembly
CGCCAUUUGCAGCUUCAUGAGAGAAAAGUUGCACUGUUCACUAGUCCUUCAGAUGGACGUGUCUGCAGUGCGGAACAUAAACUGGCUGGGCUGUUCACGCUUGAAGGAUCAGUACUGUCUGGAGCGAUAUCUCUCCAUCAGAGCAGUGUACCUUCCGGGUCAGGACAAUCUUGUGGUGGAUUGACUGCCAAUUUCCACCGGAGAUUUUUCCCCUCUUGGAUAUUUGGCAAGGGCCUCUUGAUCUGGAAUUGUUCACUUCCAGGGCAAACUGUUGGAAGGACUUGUUCUUCAGUUGGCUUCCAUAUCC